RNAcentral lists this ribosomal RNA (509 nucleotides) under uncultured glomeraceous AM fungus. RNAcentral describes it as "SSU rRNA". It matches the Rfam family "Eukaryotic small subunit ribosomal RNA", at positions 569 to 1078 of the family's 1831-position model. Lineage: Eukaryota; Fungi; Glomeromycota; Glomeromycetes; Glomerales; Glomeraceae. The record is from RNAcentral.
CGCAGCCGCGGUAAUUCCAGCUCCAAUAGCGUAUAUUAAAGUUGUUGCAGUUAAAAAGCUCGUAGUUGAAUUUCGGGAUCAAUGUUUCGGUCAUGCCCUUGGUAUGUACUGAUAUUAUUGGUUUCUCACCUUCUAAAGAACCGUAAUGCCAUUAAUUUGGUGUCACGGGGAAUUAGGACUGUUACCUUGAAAAAAUUAGAGUGUUUAAAGCAAGCUAACGCUUGAAUACAUUAGCAUGGAAUAAUGAAAUAGGACGUUCGAUCCUAUUUUGUUGGUUUCUAGGAUUGACGUAAUGAUUAAUAGGGAUAGUUGGGGGCAUUAGUAUUCAAUUGUCAGAGGUGAAAUUCUUGGAUUUAUUGAAGACUAACUACUGCGAAAGCAUUUGCCAAGGAUGUUUUCAUUAAUCAAGAACGAAAGUUAGGGGAUCGAAGACGAUCAGAUACCGUCGUAGUCUUAACCAUAAACUAUGCCGACUAGGGAUCGGAUGAUGUUAAUUUUUUAAUGACUCA